AUGGGUUGCUGUUGUUUAGAUGCUAAAACACAUCCAACUCUUUUUGUGACUCCAUGGACUGUAGCAUGCCAGGUUCUUCUGUCCAUGGGAUUUCUCCGGCAAGAAUACUGGAGUGGGUUGCCAUUUUCUUUUCCAGGAGAUCUUUCCAAGCAAGGAAUUGAACCAACAUCUCCAGCAUUGGCAGGUGGAUUCCUUACCACUGAGCCAGUAGGAAAGCCUUUAAGUAUGGGAAAUGAGUUUUGACUGUUAAGCACCUGGAUGAAGAGUCCUCUGUUCAGCUUGUCAGAGUCCUGUGACCUACAAAGACCCUCUGGUUGCACUAGGAUCAUUCGACUGAAGUAAGAUCUAAUUGUUUUAAUUAGAAUAUGACUUUUACUGUUGAAUCAACUUUUAAUAAGAUGACUUGGCAUAUGUCUAUAAUGUGCCAAUAGCUGCUAAUUUUGAAAAAAAGAGAAGAAUGUGAGCAUUAUUCUGUGACAAAAUCUUAUGUAUUCCAGUUUCUAUUCAUCUUUUAUUUCAUGGAAAUGAGCCCAUUUUGGGGGAAGCACUAUCUAAAUACUUUAAUUUCUGUGUGGCAAUCAAAACUGGUACAAUUUCCUUGCCUUUGAGGUAUCAAUUGAUUUUUAUUCAAUUGUAAUUUUAUUGUAAGGAGUCAAAUUAUUCUCUUUUGUAACUUAGGUUGAUUCAUUAUUUUAUUUUAAAAUCAUGACAACAGUGCAGUUUGUGUCAUGAUAUGGCACGUUUUUUGCUUUUCUUAUUUAUUCCAAGUUUGUACAGGUCUGAUGAACUUGUGGGACAUCAGUUUAUAUAUGGCCACAUGUAGACUAUGGACUUCCAUUUAGGCAUUAGAAUAUAAAGAUACACUUUAAAGAAUGUUUAUAGUUCUUCCUGGAGAACUCCUAUUUUGAGCAGAUGAUGCUAGUGUAUGACUGAAAUACUUUUUUUCUGUAAAACAAUAGCUGCAAUCAAUGUUCCACUGCUGGUUCAGGCUUACUAUGUAGAAAACUUUAAAUGAUAUGGAUGUUGCAAAGGUUCAGAAAACAGCACGGAACCAACAGCUAGGAAAUCUGAGGUGAUCCAGCAUGACCUUCAAAAUAGGUAAGGAAUUGGCAUGAACCAUUUCAACCUUCUGACUGUUCUCUAGGUUCUGAAAUGAAGGAGUUAGAUUAAACAAGGAAAGGUGGCAAAUUCUUGAGCCUUGAAGAUGAGACAUGUAAUAUAUUAAUAUGAAUUGUAUGGAGUGGCUGGGUGUGAGACAAUAGGGAAGGAUGAGUCUAUAGGGAGAGAGAGGCUGUGUCUCUUCUAAAGCUGUUGAGGUUCAAGUAUUUUAAAGCUGGACAAACAAGUAAAUCAUCUGGGCUGAGGAAGGGUGAAGCAGAAAGUGGACUGAACUUCACUACUGGAUUGAAUAAAUUCUAAGGUCGUUUCCA
This 1430-nucleotide long non-coding RNA is filed under the name Bos indicus x Bos taurus (hybrid cattle). RNAcentral describes it as "lncRNA (ENSBIXG00000004920.1)". The record is from RNAcentral. Lineage: Eukaryota; Metazoa; Chordata; Mammalia; Artiodactyla; Bovidae.